Molecule: unclassified non-coding RNA, 2200 nt
Filed under: Hevea brasiliensis (rubber tree)
Lineage: Eukaryota; Viridiplantae; Streptophyta; Magnoliopsida; Malpighiales; Euphorbiaceae
Source: RNAcentral
CCGCUCCUUCACAAAUCUAAAAUUGCAGCCGCCUACCCGUCUCCCCACCGACCAAAUACAAGCCGUUCCUCCUUCUCCCGUCUCUCGAUCUUGUCCAGAAGGUAGAGGCAAUCCGCGAUGUCCACCCCAUGCCGGCACAAGCUGUUUCUUCACCUUUGUACCCGUACAUCCCCAUCCCAUCAGCCACUGCUUUGUACGACCUCAGAUGCCGCAAGGAGAUUACAUAGAGCUACACAGGAAGAGGCAUGGCUAUCGCCUCAACCACUUUGAGCACAAGCGCAAGAAGGAGGCUCGUGAAGUCCACAAGCGCUCUGAGAGGGCCCAGAAAGCAUUGGGUAUCAAGGGUAAGAUGAUUGCCAAGAAAAACUAUGCUGAGAAGGCCCUCAUGAAGAAAACAUUGGCCAUGCAUGACGAGUCAACAUCUAGGCGGAAGGUGGAUGAUGAAGUUCAUGAAGGAGCUAUUCCUGCCUAUCUGCUGGAUCGUGAAACACAACACGAGCAAAGAUCAUGAGCAACACUAUAAAGCAAAAGAGGAAAGAGAAGGCUGGAAAAUGGGAAGUCCCUCUACCUAAGAAUAGCAUAAAUUAGUAAUCAGAGCGCGUGAGAGGAAACCAGAUGGUUAAUGGCUUUUUCCCAAGUAACUUACCGGAAACUGUAAAAACGACGCAUCGCAAUGGGGGUCGCAUGAGCUUCCACGAAAUCCUCAAUAUUAUCGCUUCUCAGGUCGAAGUUGCCCUUCAAAACUUGGCAAAUUUGCGGGCGUGCCAUUGUUGACGUGGAAGAAUAAAUCCUCGAAGGUUUCUACUUCGUUAUCUCUAACAGCCUUAUCGAUGGAAACGCCUCCUCAAGGGUACAGAAGGAAUGUUGGGAUUUGUCUCGUUAAUCCCUCCAAAAAGAUCUUUGCUGCUUCGAGGAUUAACAUACCGGACACAUGGCAAAUGCCUCAGGUAGAUUCAGUUCUUUCCUGGGCUUUUGUUCUUUAGUUGUUUUUUAAUCUCAAUUUUAGCUUAAUUUGAUUUGAUGGGAAAUUCAAUGGAGUUUUGAAGAAUUCAAUUGGAGUUCUGUCUGAUUAAAGGAUUUGCUUGUUAAUUUGAAUUUUUUCUUUUUUUGGUUGAGUUGUUUGUUGGUGAAAAGAUUGAGUGAGCUUUAUGGUGCUGCUUGGCUUGCUUAAUGCAGUAAUGCGUAGUGAAUUGGUGCUCUUAACAUUUUGGCACUGGCCAUUAUAAUUUUGAGACUAAAUACCUGCAAGACGCUGUUUUUUAGUUAAUUUUAGAAUAAACCAAAAGGAUUUGUAUUACAAUUGCUUGGGAGCUUGUGUUUUACAGGGUGGCGCUGACGAAGGUGAGGACCUUAGGAAUGCAGCGAUGAGAGAAUUAAGGGAAGAAACAGGUGUUACUUCAACUGAGUUUCUUGCAGAGGCUCCAUACUGGCUGACUUAUGACUUCCCACUCCAAGUUAGAGAGAGACUUAAUCGUCGGUGGGGUACAAACUAUAAAGGUCAAGCACAGAAGUGGUUUCUUUUUAAGUUUACUGGGAAGGAGGAAGAGAUCAACCUAUUGGGAGAUGGUUCCGAAAAGCCAGAAUUCAAGGACUGGUCAUGGAUGUUACCAGAACGAGUGGUGGAGCUUGCAGUGGAUUUCAAGAAGCCUGUAUAUGAACAAGUUAUGAAGGUGUUUAGUCCAUAUCUUCAGGAAGAUGUAGAUGAACAACUGCACAAAAAGGAAACUGAUACCGAAGUUCUUAUGGAGUUCCCUCCAGCUUGAAAUGUUAAUUAGGAAGUCUCAUUGAUAUGAAGAAGCUAUUUCUGGUGCUAUGCCAGGUUUUGUCUUGAAAUUAACCACAUCUAUAAGAAUAAGAAUCUUCAGUUAGUGGUCUUCAUUUGCAAAUGAAUGAAGCCCAUCGCAUUCAAAGGCUUUCCUGCAAAAACACUGUCAAAACGUGUUUUUUCUUUAUUGGGUAGCUGCUCCAACCUAAAGACAUUAUUUAUUCACUGAGAAGUGACAUUUGUUUUUGUGGAUUAUUAAAGAUUAAAAAGAACUCAAACAUUUACUUAAAAAUUUUCAUUUGUAUAUGCUUAUAUUUUACAUUGGUGUCUAUUGUAGUCAAAUGGUGAAGAGAAAGGGUUUUGUGUGAAUUCCUAAAAUAAUAAAUUUUUACACUCCCAUGUCAUAAAUUUAUAUGUGAAAUUUAUGUAAUAAAG